Molecule: ribosomal RNA, 253 nt
Filed under: uncultured bacterium
Lineage: Bacteria
Description: partial 16S ribosomal RNA
Rfam family: Bacterial small subunit ribosomal RNA
Source: RNAcentral
GACGGGGGGUCCUAGCGUUGUUCGGAAUUAUUGGGCGUAAAGCGUGUGCAGGUUGUUUGAAAAGUUGGAUGUGAAAUCCUUGGGCUCAACCCAAGACGUGCAUUCAAAACUGCCAAACUUGAGUAUGGAAGAGGAUCGUGGAAUUCCUAGUGUAGUGGUGAAAUACGUAGAUAUUAGGAGGAACACCGGUGGCGAAGGCGGCGAUCUGGUCCAAUACUGACACUCAUACACGAAAGCGUGGGGAUCAAACAGG